Molecule: microRNA, 22 nt
Filed under: Homo sapiens (human)
Lineage: Eukaryota; Metazoa; Chordata; Mammalia; Primates; Hominidae
Description: hsa-miR-5004-3p
Source: miRBase by way of RNAcentral
CUUGGAUUUUCCUGGGCCUCAG